CACACGCUAGGAACAAACUUGAGUUUUCUUCCCAACAAAACAAAUCAUCAUUAACGAUGAUACACCAUGAAAGAAAAACCUUCGAACAGACCCUAGAACACUGCAAAAUCAUGAAAAAACUUGAUCUGAUUCAAAGGAUUUCUCUUUUACUGAACAAAACAGCUAAACCUAAACCCUAUACAGCCGAAAAUCCACAACCCUAACUUUCCAUCUUCUCUUCCACUUUCUCCCUCUGCGAAUCUUCUUUCGUAUUCUUGGUUUUUUUUUAUGUGGUUAUUGAUUGGAGGAUCCUACAAGCUUUCUCCAGCCAUGUUAUACAGAUGAUUUCCUUCUUUGUGUCUUCGUUGAAAGCCUGUUUCAUCAUCCUCAAAUUUCAAGUCUCGAAGUGAUUUGUAUCUCAAUUUUGUAUUUAUUUAUUUUUUUAUAUAAUUUUUGAUUAGGGUUUGCUUUUCUUGCAAAUACUUUGCUGCCAUUUUUUUUCCUGCCUAAACGGCUAAACCUAUCCUCUUUUGCGUGGAAGCAAAUUAGAAUCAAAAUAAGUAUUAUAUCCCAACCAUAACUUAAACCCUAAAUACUUUGUCUUCUCCUCUGGCUCCCUAUUUUCUUUCCCUCAUUCAGAAAGAUAACAAUGAUAAAUACUUUUUUUUAUCAGUAAAUACAAUGAUGAAUACUAAGUGGAAUCAUGGGUCAGCCGGGAUUUCAACAUUCAGUUCUGUAAGUGUAAGUUUAUUUGUGAUAAUAUGGUGUUUUCUAUGGAGGCGAGAUUGAUUGCAGAAGAUGUCACCAUCUCAGUUCGCGAAGCCAAAUCAGAGGCUGAUGGAAUCGGAAAAAUAUACUGAGGUGACUUUGAGGGAUUCACAGACAUCUGUUCCCAGGGCUACACCUACACUAUGUGAAAAUGAUGUAUCAAAAUAGGCAAGAUAUCUUGCCAGUGCUGCUGCUAAUAGUGGACUAUAGGGAAAAGAUGGCAGAACUACGAGAAUAUAUUGAUCCUGAUUAAAUGGGGUCGAAUGCUCUCAGUUCUCACUAUGUCUACAAUGACUCCAUGAAUAAGGGUGUAUGAAGAACAGAGAGACUCACUUAUGGUAAAAAAGAGUACCCCUCUCACGUUAGACCACUAGAAAGAGCACCUAACGAAUCAACUACAAGAAGCAUACACAGCGCGCCGCUCCUUACAGUAGUGAACAUCAGCAUGAACCGUUUGUAUCCAGGGAUUUCCAGUGAAAAUUUGGAAGAGCUUUCCGAGAACAUAAUAUGCAUCUGAGGGAUGGAGAAACACCUAGCCAUAUUUAAGUAUUUGCGAGAAGCACCAUUUGUACAUAUAGGUGGUUGCAAGUAAUUUUUCUGGAGAAGAAUGGUCUCAAAAGAUAACAGUUAGGAUCACAGAUAUGAAGUAGAUCAGUGGAAGGAACAAAUAUCUCUAGUUGAAAAUGCAUUAAAGGAUUGAAAAAGGGAACGAGCUUGGAUUUAGACGAAGAAGAAAUAGAUCAGAAAAUUUAUCUAAGAGAUUGAAUAUUUUAUCUGCAUUAGACAUAUUAAGAAGACCGCAACUGUCUUCCUGCUGUUGGUUUCCAUUACUACCACCGUGUGAGUUUUCUUCCCAAUAAUGGGAAAAAUUAAAGUGAUUUUCUCUAAUACAACUUUUCAAAAGAUCCAUUUGGAUUGUAUAGGUUCCUUGGGGAGUAAUUGGCCAUUGUAUAAGCCAAAGAGCUCCAACCUAAUGAACCUAUUAUAUUGUUUCUUACCAUAAAUUGAGUCUCCUGAUAUAUUCUUCUAAUGAUUCAGUUCAAUCUCUAGCUCUUCUCCAAUAUUAAAUGUUUAAUGGAUCUUUUUACUACAUUCCAUAAAUGAAGAUCAUCU
This is a long non-coding RNA of Papaver somniferum (opium poppy), 1860 nucleotides long. RefSeq lists it as uncharacterized. The record is from RefSeq and is a predicted model, not a curated record. Lineage: Eukaryota; Viridiplantae; Streptophyta; Magnoliopsida; Ranunculales; Papaveraceae. The transcript has 6 exons.